UGUUUAUCUUUAUCAUUCGAAAGGAACAGUAACUUCCCGAUUUUGCCCCCCCCCCCUUUUUUUUCGAAAUUGCCCUUCUGCUUUUGGCUCUUUCUUUUCCCCCCUUUUUCUGCUUGCCAUUACCUUCCGUUUUCCUUUGAACUGAACCCCUUCUCACUCCAUAUUUCCUUUAUCUCAUUCUCCUCCAUUGAAGGAACUUUUAUGCUUUCCUCUCCAUUAUCGAUGCAGCUCGCGAGGUUGAGGAAUAUGAAAAGGUUGAGGAAGAAGUAAAGGAAGAAGUAACGAAUGAUGAAAAUGAUACAAUAGUGGCGGAAAAAAAGGUUCGAACUCGGGUAAAGAGGAUGCGAAUUUUGCGAAACAAGAACAAUUCAACCUCGGACGAGUUGACUGAUGGGUGACUCGGACAAUGACUCGAGAAGACAGUCGAACAACUUCACAGGACCGGAUCCAUGGUCUCCAUUCUCAAUGGUGAGGCGUGUAUGAAUGCUCAAGCAAUCAAGAAAUUUGUGGAGAAGAAUAAAAAAUCGGCGGCUAAAUGUGUGAAUUUAGCGUUUCAGUGUUCGAUUAUUCAUGCCCUUUCAAAUGUGAGAUGCAUUGAUUUGGAAUUACGGGUUGUUGUAGGGUGAGACGUGUAUUAGUGUUCGAUUACUACAUGCAUCAAUAACCAGGAGAACAUUUGCCAUUGAGCCCAAGCUCUACAACGGUUUUAUCAGUUGGAGGAACAGGUUAAAAGAGAAAUACCUUUAAAGUUUUACCUCAUCUUAAAGCCAUCUCUUACAGCAAUUAAUAUGAAGAAAGUUAUUGUAAAGCUGCUCUGAGGCAUCAUCCUAAUAAGACUCGUCAGUUAUUGCAAGAGCCGAAAGUGGAGAUGAUGGCCUCUGGAAUUGCUUAGCUUUGUAUAACCAAGGGUUUGCUUAGCUUUGUAUAUUUACUUACUUAUUUUUCCUGUUUUCAUGUACAAUAAGCUUUUAUUCGUUUGGGUUUGCCAACCUUUUGCUUUUGUUUUAUGGGUCUUGCUUAUUUUCAAAAAAUAUUAUGUUCUCAUUUGUGCUAUGAUAUGAUGAAUAGAGAUUAAUAAUUUUUUUAUCGAGAUUAUGUUUAGUUUCCGCAAUAUAUUUGUGAAUGUUGGUUCGAUUGGAAAAACUGAAAAAUGUUUUUCUUAUCUUUUCUUUUCCCAUAAUUUAACUUGUACAUCUUCUUGUUUGCGCUUUCCAGCCUGGUUUCAAGGCAGUAGAGAACAGGAAUGAGGUUUUGAUAACUAGAAAUUAUAUUGAAAAAGACUAGGAAUACCCCUGCACAAAUUCUUGCAGUAUUGCUGAGAGAAAAGUGAGUUUUUGAUGAACUCUUAUCGUGCUGCUAGAGAUGAAGGCAGGGGUGAACCUGAUUUGUUAACCUGUGAUCAACCUUCAAAGUUUGUGAUGCGUAAAUCUUAAUUUCAAGUUUUAUGCAGCUCUUUUCUUGACUUUAUUAAGAUGGUCUUAUGUGAGUUCACUGGGACUAUUGCUUGUUGAAUGUUAUUCUCAGAUUCUCUUACUACACAGCCGGUACUGGAGGUGCUGGUCCAACAGUAUUGUCGACAAGCUUUUUACUUCUCGGAGAAGAGGUUAUUGCCUACAACUAAGGAUCCAAAAGGUCUAAAGAUGAGAAAUCAUGCAUUUCAUCAAUACCAUAACAAUGUAGCUUGGCACAAUGCUAUGUCUCAAACUCAGAAGGCUUCAGGGAAAGACUGUUAGAAUUGCACUAAUUAUUGAUCUGAACAAGAUUAGGGCAGCAUGGAGUAACAUUGAUGGAAGAGAGCACAUGGAGAAUCUGCUUCUGUUGAAAGGUUCUGUGAAUCUGUGGUGUUUAUAGUUGAGGGCUAUCAUUCACUGCCAUUCAGCCCCUUACUAUCCUCUUUCGAAAGAUAUUGUUAUACAAUGACAACAUCAUGCACACAGGGUUUUCCUUAUAAAUAUCGAGUUGCAUCCAGGCGCUCUUUAUCUUUUAGGUGGUGCGCACCUAUCAGGGGACUGUGUGAGGCAAGACAUGGGCUCUGCUAUGUGGUGUUUUCACAGAGCAACAGAGAAGGAGCUUCCUUAAUGUUUCUGCGUGCUUCAAUAAUGGAGAGGAAAGCAUAAAAGUUCCUUCAAUGGAGGAGAAUGAGAUAAAGGAAAGAUGGAGUGAGAAGUUUCGGUUCAAAGGAAAGAGAAAGGUAAUGGCAAGCAGAAAAGGGGGAAAAAGAAAGAGUCGACACGUGCUACAGCGACCAAUAACCAUACCAUCCAUAACCUUUGUUUUUGAUGGCAUGGACUUGACAUUGGACCAAGACAACUUCCUACUCCGUAGUACUUCCACCAGCAUCGCAUGCCUCGCAAUGGCGGCUGCCCCGAAAAACCCCAACUCUGCCCUCAAUAUCAUUGCCAACAUGCAGCAACAGAACCACAGGGUUGUCUAUGAUGUCCCUAACAAAAGGAUUGACAUUUCUCGUGAAACUUGUAGUUAGAAUUUUUAAUUUUUUGUUAAGGAUGUUGGGAGUGUUAAGUUAAAGCUUGUUCAUUCCCUGAGAUAAAACAUAAUGUAUUAGUAUAAGUGAUGUUAUAAAUUAUGUCUUGAAGUAA
Chenopodium quinoa (quinoa) is the source of this 2597-nucleotide long non-coding RNA. RefSeq lists it as uncharacterized. Lineage: Eukaryota; Viridiplantae; Streptophyta; Magnoliopsida; Caryophyllales; Amaranthaceae. The record is from RefSeq and is a predicted model, not a curated record. The transcript is spliced from 10 exons.